CUGGUUCUGGCCUUCCGGUGCUUCCUGCAGCAGGAGUUCUCCACUUGCUCUGCUUCUGGGGAUUUAACAGCAGCUGGCUACACGGAAGGUUUUCCUGGCAUGGAGGGAAAAUCCCUUUCCAACUCCAGAUGUGAAUGAAGAAGAAAAGAGUCUGCCAAGCCUUCCCACAUGUUAGUUCAAGCUAUCCAGCUGCGGCCUACAGCUUCAGAGGAAAGAGGGCAAGCCUAACAACUUUGAGAGGUCCAGAAAUUCAGAACUUUGUGCUGUGGCUCAAGGAGUCUGACAUGAUGAUGUUUUUGUAGAAGUUGUCUGAACUGUACAUCUCCACUGAAAUGAAUUCGACUCUUCAGCUGUUCUGUGGACAUGUAUUGCCUGCAGGUUUACACAUGAGGAUGAAACUACAUGCUAAAGUAGAUUUGCAUCUGCCACUGAAAAUUGUAGCCCAGUGUGAAAGUUCACUGCUGCAAUUUGCAGCAUUGUAUAUCUUGCAUUGUUACAUUGUGAUGAUGUGUGUUAUCGUAAUCUGU
Lacerta agilis (Sand lizard) is the source of this 527-nucleotide long non-coding RNA. RefSeq lists it as uncharacterized. NCBI's taxonomy places the organism in Eukaryota, Metazoa, Chordata, Lepidosauria, Squamata, Lacertidae. The transcript has 5 exons. The record is from RefSeq and is a predicted model, not a curated record.